GGCUUGGUUGUGCACUGAUUUUCCCAUUCGUUCUUAUCACAGAUCAUUCUUGGCUGGUAGCAGUGCUGGCACCAUCUCAGGGACAACCAGUCAUUACAAAUUUCAACAUAACUAGCCAUGCAAAGCAGUGUCUUCCGAUAAAGGUCCAGGGCUGCAUCCCAAAUACCUCCGCCAACAGCUCAGCCAACAGGAUGGAUCACGACCGAAACAGAUGUUCUUGCUCCCCGCGGCUGAAAGUUGGAGUCCCUCCCUGGAGAUGAGGCACUUCGCUUUGACACCAGAAGCACCUUCCUGAUUUCAUCAGAUGAGAUGCUUGUUUGGGAGAUGACCCCAAUGUCUUGCUUAAGCAAACAAAUAAAAUGUUUGAAUUUAGUGAGGGCAUGAACCUGAUAUGUUAAGCGUAGAGUUAGGAAAAUUAUAUUAUAUAGAAAAUAGCACAUGAUUUCCCUGGUGAGCCAGCAACCUCCCAAAAUGAUUGUGUAAAACAGAGGAUAAAAAGAGCUCAGCAAGAAAUGCUUAUGUUCUCGAGAAGGCAACCAAAUUGGAGAAUGAGGUUUGGUAUAUGGUAUUUCUCAGUAAGAACUGUAAAACUGAAUUAAAGCCUCAAAGCAAUGAUACAACUCUUCCUAAAAUAUGUGGUCCAUAUAUUUCUUCUGUGUGAUUCUUUAGAACUGAACUGAACACCUUUGGAACUGAAAGGUUGUACUUACUCUUCCAGGUUAUUUCAGACAAUGAGGGUGUUCUUUCAAAAUUAACGUGCUUCUCAAAACUUAACAGGCGCAUGAGUCACCUGGAGAUCUUGUUAAAAUGUAGGUUCUAAUUCAGCAGGUCCUAGGUAAGGCCCCAGAUUCGGCAUGUGUAACAAGCUCCAAGGUUUACACUAUUCUUAAAGCAGUGCAGUCAUUUCAAAGUGUGGUCGUUGGAUCACCUGUAUGAGAAUCUUGUAGGUGAUCUGUUGAAAAACACAGAUUCCUGAGCUCCACCACAGACUUACAAAAUCCAGUGUUUACAGUGAUUGCCCAGGAAUCUGUAUUUAACACACUUACCAGAUGAUUCUUAUUAAAGCUUGAGAACUGACACCGUCUAUGGAUAAAUGGUUAAUUUGGGAUAACUAGGAAACUUGUAAGAGAUGCCAUGAGAUUGUUGCACACAAUGAAGAAGGUUUGGGCUGUGCUCAGUGGGUUCUUGUGCUUCUACAGUAAGGGAAACUGCUAAGCAGUUAAGCGGCUGGGGCAUAAAUAGCAGGUGCCAGCAAGUCAGGCAGUCCAGGUGACAGGGAAGGAGCUUACAGGAGCAUUAAUGAUGAUAGAAU
Molecule: long non-coding RNA, 1312 nt
Filed under: Macaca mulatta (Rhesus monkey)
Lineage: Eukaryota; Metazoa; Chordata; Mammalia; Primates; Cercopithecidae
Description: lncRNA (ENSMMUG00000059793.1)
Source: RNAcentral